CUCAGGGAUCAAGUAGUGGAAGGCUCCUCUGGCUGCAGCAGAAUAAGGCUUGGAGUUGGACUUGGCACAGACUUAGACAGGCUCAGCUGCUUUGUACCCAUCUAGAACUCAGACAGUGAACCUUCAGAGGUGCUGACAUUGGUCCAAGAAGGAAGAGUCUCAAGGCCAGUGACUAGUAGUUGCUGAUGAGGAGAUGAAGAGGAAAGCCCUCCAAGUCAGAAUUCUUGGGAUUCUGCCUUACCCUCAGCCCUGCGUGUAGCUGCCUGUGUUAUGGGAAGACUCUGGGAAUUUGAAGAUGACAGCCAAACACUGCUCUAAAU
Molecule: long non-coding RNA, 320 nt
Filed under: Equus asinus (donkey)
Lineage: Eukaryota; Metazoa; Chordata; Mammalia; Perissodactyla; Equidae
Description: lncRNA (ENSEASG00005029508.1)
Source: RNAcentral